UACAGAGGAUGCAAGCGUUAUCCGGAAUGAUUGGGCGUAAAGCGUCUGUAGGUGGCUUUUUAAGUCCGCCGUCAAAUCCCUGGGCUCAACCCAGGGCCUGCAUCGGAAACUGUCGGGCUUGAGUAUGGGAGAGGUGAGUGGAAUUUCCGGUGUAGCGGUGAAAUGCGUAGAUAUCGGAAGGAACACCUGUGGCGAAAGCGGCUCACUGGACCAUUACUGACGCUGAGGCACGAAAGCUAGGGGAGCAAACAGG
Molecule: ribosomal RNA, 253 nt
Filed under: uncultured bacterium
Lineage: Bacteria
Description: partial 16S ribosomal RNA
Rfam family: Bacterial small subunit ribosomal RNA
Source: RNAcentral